RNAcentral lists this ribosomal RNA (503 nucleotides) under Bombus consobrinus wittenburgi. RNAcentral's name for it is "partial 16S ribosomal RNA". The stretch from base 380 to 503 matches the Rfam family "Bacterial large subunit ribosomal RNA", at positions 2473 to 2597 of the family's 2925-position model. Lineage: Eukaryota; Metazoa; Arthropoda; Insecta; Hymenoptera; Apidae. The record is from RNAcentral.
GGCUUAAUGAUAAUAAUUUUAGGUCGAUCUGCCCAAUGAUUAAUAAUUAAAUGGCUGCAGUAUAUUUGACUGUACAAAGGUAGCAUAAUCAAUUGUUUUUUAAUUAAGAACUGGAAUGAAAGAAUUAAUGAGAUAUAUACUGUCUCAUAUAUAUAUAAUGAAUUUAAAUUUUUAGUUAAAAUGCUUAAAUAAUUUUAUGGGACGAUAAGACCCUAUAGAAUUUUAUAUUAAUUAUAAUUAUAAAAUUUAUUUUAUUAUUAUAUUAAUAUUUAGUUGGGAGGAUUAGUAAAUUUAGUAAACUUUAUUUUAAAUUUAAACUUUGAUUAAAGAAUAUUUUUUUGAUCUUGUAUUAUGAAUAAAAAGAAAAAAUUACCUUAGGGAUAACAGCGUAAUAUCUUUUUAAAGGUCAUAUUAAUAAAGAUGAUUGCGACCUCGAUGUUGAAUUAAGAUAAAUUUUAGAUGAAGAAGUUUAAAAAUUAAGUCUGUUCGACUUUUAAAAUCUC